GUUUUCCUGCGGUAUUCGUGACCUUGGUUAUACAUCUCUUACCGAUGCUUAUGGCUAGGGUAGUUAGCUCAGAUGCAGGAGUGAAUCUCUCUCGUCAGAGAAUCCCGGCGCAUCAUACGAGCCGACCGCCAACUUGAACUUUUUGGGUUCGAGAUGCCGACCUUGACGGUACCGCGGGUUACCC
Molecule: non-coding RNA, 184 nt
Organism: Oligella urethralis DNF00040
Lineage: Bacteria; Pseudomonadati; Pseudomonadota; Betaproteobacteria; Burkholderiales; Alcaligenaceae
Rfam family: 6S / SsrS RNA
About the family: E. coli 6S RNA was the first non coding RNA to be sequenced, but its function was unknown until recently. It consists of 184 nucleotides that fold into an extended hairpin structure with a large single-stranded internal bulge.
Source: Rfam